Ornithorhynchus anatinus (platypus) is the source of this 622-nucleotide long non-coding RNA. RefSeq lists it as uncharacterized. NCBI's taxonomy places the organism in Eukaryota, Metazoa, Chordata, Mammalia, Monotremata, Ornithorhynchidae. The record is from RefSeq and is a predicted model, not a curated record. The transcript is spliced from 3 exons.
GGCAGGCCCAAGGGCGGGGGGCAGCAGUUUCUUCCCCCCCCCCUCCGCCUCAGUGGACUUCCGCCGACGGGACGGAGGCUGAGGCCCUCGACGCCCGUGGCACGUGAGCGUGCGGCCCGGUCCUGGCCGAGCCGUUGGCGGCGGCAGCAGCGUCCUUUCCACCUGCCGCUUCCCCCCCGGCAGGGACGGGCCGUGAGGGAGGCCGAGACGAGGAGGACGGAUGGCGGCAGUGGGGGCACAAGAUUAAAUAAAAGGAUGCCCAGUUAGCCUGGGACCAGACCUGAGCACAUGGCAGCAAGGGCCCAGGCCAAGCAGAGGUACAACCUGAUCCUCAUCCCUUCCAUCCCACUGGAACACUGUGGAAGCUGGAAGCUGGCUUCUCUGCCAACAGUGGGACAGCCCAAGGAUGGAGCCAGUUCCCCUGAGGGUGGAGCGAAGAAAAAAGAGGUGGAGCUUGCUCUCCCACGAUCCGGCCGUUUCCCCAAGAAAGCGUUCGGGCAGCCUGCCAGUCACAGGGCCGAAGCGCGUGCUGUCUGACUCCUGCCCGCCGGGUCAUCUGCUUGACCCCGGCAGCGAUCUUGAACCUCAGUGGCUGUAAAUAUUACUUUGUUUUCCCUUUUAA